AUGGCUCAGGGAAGAGGCAGUGCGGCGCAGGGCUUCACCCUCGGCUUCCUCGUGCUGUGCCUCCUCCUCGGCGCCGACACCGCCGGCGCCGCCACCUACAACGUCGACUGGUCGUUCGCCGCCGGCAGCUGGCCCAGCGGCAAGAGCUUCCGCGCAGGGGACGUCCUCGUGUUCAGCUACAACCCGGCCGUGCACAACGUGGUGGCGGUGGACGCCGGCGGCUACAACAGCUGCCGGGGCUCCGGCGCGACGCACACCUACACCUCGGGGAGCGACCGCGUGACGCUCGUCCCUGGGACGAACUACUUCAUCUGCAGCCUCAGCGGCCACUGCGGGCUCGGGAUGAAGAUGGCCGUCACUGCAAACUGA
Molecule: ribosomal RNA, 369 nt
Filed under: Triticum aestivum (bread wheat)
Lineage: Eukaryota; Viridiplantae; Streptophyta; Magnoliopsida; Poales; Poaceae
Description: partial small subunit ribosomal RNA
Source: RNAcentral